CCUUGUACGCACCGCCCGUCAAGUCAUGGGAGUUGGGAGUACCCGAAGUCCGCUUAGCUAACGCAAAAGGCGGCGGCCGACGGUAAGCUCGAUGACUGGGACU
RNAcentral lists this ribosomal RNA (103 nucleotides) under uncultured bacterium. RNAcentral describes it as "partial 16S ribosomal RNA". It matches the Rfam family "Bacterial small subunit ribosomal RNA", at positions 1379 to 1482 of the family's 1533-position model. The record is from RNAcentral.